CCCUUAGAUGUUCUGGGCCGCACGCGCGCUACACUGACGAUGGCAACGAGUUUUUCCUUCGCCGAAAGGUGUGGGUAAUCUUUUGAAACAUCGUCGUGCUGGGGAUAGAUCAUUGCAAUUUUUGAUCUUGAACGAGGAAUUCCUAGUAAGCGCGAGUCAUCAGCUCGCGUUGAUUACGUCCCUGCCCUUUGUACACACCGCCCGUCGCUACUACCGAUUGAAUGGUUUAGUGAGGACUCCUGAUUGGCGCCGCCGCCCCGGCAACGGAGCAGCGGACUGCCGAAAAGUUGUUCAAACUUGAUAAUUUAGAGGAAGUAAAAGUCGUAACA
This 329-nucleotide ribosomal RNA is filed under the name uncultured eukaryote. RNAcentral describes it as "partial 18S ribosomal RNA". It matches the Rfam family "Eukaryotic small subunit ribosomal RNA", at positions 1470 to 1796 of the family's 1831-position model. The record is from RNAcentral.